UUCACCUACCUGAGGUACCACCAUUCCGAGUUGUAACGCUCCGGAGGGGUGUUGCCCCCAAACACGCCCCAUCUCCAUUGGUCGAUAAGGUAGCCAAAAGGAAGGAAGGCUAUCUUCUCCAGUGCCAUCUUCAACAGACGUCACCGACUCCAGCAGUCCGAUGGUCUUCAGGUGUUUGGGCGUGGAGACGGACAGAGAGAGAACGUCGCCGAUGGCCUCGUGAAAUCCGGGAUUGGCCCCGCGACGGAACCCCACGGGUUGAUCCUUGUACUGGAGGUAAUACUGUAUGUGGCCCAUCUCAUGGUGGACGGUGAAGAGCUGCUCCAUGGUCACGGUGGUGCACUGUUUGAUCCUGCACAAGUAUUUCCCAUCACAAUCUUUCUUUGCACCAAAGCUGUCUUUAAAUCCUGAUUACCUGAAGUCCUUGCGGUUGUAAAAGUCCCAAGCAGACGCGUGACACACCACCUCACGGUCAUCGGGUUUCUCCAGCAUGGACUCGUCCCAGAAUUCUUGAGGCAUCGGGGCUAAACCCAACGAUGUGAAGAACUCCUCGGCCACACGAAACAUUUUCGUAGCGUUGUAGCCCUGCCAAACACAAAAAAAUGGCAGCGAUCUCAAAAGAACCGUUUUACUCUAAGGUGUUCGUCUCCCCUCUCUUACUUGUUUGACCAUUUCUCCAGUCACGUCCAUGUUGGGUUUGUUAGGAAAUGGUAUCAUCAAGCCGUAGAUAUUGUUCCAGGUCUGGGCCCACAUGUUUCCUGAGGGCGAGGACGAAAACACACUCAAGCAACAAUCCAUCCUUGUUAUGGGAUCGCGCUCUGGCCGGCUCCAUAGGAAAUGCCUGCUUGAAGCGUGUACGUCCACCGUGACCAGAUAAGCUGGCGCUGGAGCGUGUUGACCCCCGACCCUCCCAGAUUGCCACUAGAGUGUUGUUGUACCCAGCAGAUGAGCGGGAAUCGGGCCUCGCAGGUUGAUGUACUUGGCACCGUACUGCUUGUAGAGUUGUCGGCGCACAAAGGCGUGCAGGUGCUGAUAGAGAGGUUCGAUUGUUUUGUACAAGCCCUCGAUGACUUCCUGGAAGUUGUCCGUCUCGUACCAAGAGCGCCAGUCGGCCCCCGUGUCUUUAAAUCCUACAAAAAUAGAGAUAGAUUGUUUUAUAAUAUCUUCUCGAACUUUGUUGUAUUUUUCUCACCAUCAGCUUGUGAGGCUUUGUUGCUGAGCUGCACGAAUUUGGGGUAGUGCUCCUUGAGGGGAACACCUGACACGUUAUGCCAGCCCUCCCAAGCGUACAGAAGCUUCUUGUAGCUCCGCGACGUGGCCAUGAUGUCCCUGAGAUCUGCAAGGGACAACGUGCGAUUAGCUUUGGACAAGGGAGGCCGAAGUUCUCCUUUCCCUCCAAAGUCAGGUAUAUGAGGAGAGGAUGACAGACCAAAUGCAUGAGUCGUGUGUAUUUAUUUAUUCACGAUAAAUAAUACUCACUAUAUAAAUAAAAUAAAACAAAAUUAAAUGGACUAAAUAAUUAAACUCAUACAUACGUAAAAAUAAUGCAUAUAAAAAUUAAAAUUAAAUAUAUUCACAUAUUAAAUCACUAUUUUGAGGGUUCAAAUUCAAAUUGGAUUGGCCAAUUGAAAAAAAAAAGAAAAAAAAUGAGAGCGCUUGGGAAACACUGAGCUAUGUUGCAGACAAAACAUCAGGCCAUUGUUCCCAGUGCACCCCACAGUUCAACACUAUGAGCGCGCUGUUGUUCCAGCGUUGUACUCAACAUUCAAAACACUUCCUCUGUGAAGUUUGCCCAUCCUGUUACUCUUACAGGAACCGAUAAGAAGACUUUUUCCUCCGCGAACAACCGCCGCAAUCGAUUCUACUCACGGGGCUCCAGGCUCCAACUGACGUUUGGCUGCGGAUGCACUUUAGCCGUGGAAUAAAUACUGUCCAUGGUGCUGAGAAUUGUGUUGUACUGCGCACACAAACACACACAGGAAAUCAUCGGUCAAUCCUUUUAACACUGGAGAAUAACUCCAAAUCAUUGGAGACCAACCUUUCCUCUUUCUUCAGGAGACAAGUUAGCGGCUCCGAGAACCAUGACUUUGCCCAUCAGUUUCUUAUCUUUGGGGUCAAGCGUGUUGAGCACCUCGCUGGUGAACACCUGCUUGGCCUUCAUCCCCCAAGCCUCAGUGAAGGCCUGCUCCUCCAACGACGCAUUUACCUGAGCACACCGGGAAGGACACCCUCAAGACACAUUAUGUUGGCGCGGCGUGGCGGGGGCUCGCAUCUCCACUUGUUCUCCAAGCUUGGAGAAUUCCUGUUGUGACAGCUGUACAAGCACGGACAUCGCAAUAAAAGCCUCAGAAGAGAGAACUGACCUCAAGCACCUUGAAAACACCAACCGGCCGCUGGCGGAACUGCAGGUGACCGACAUUGGGACUGUGACAGGUUAGAGUUGCCGUCCAGGGGAUAUAAUCUGCGCGUGCGCAAUAUCUGGCGCAGCUGCCACAAAUUAGUGCAUUAAGGACGCCAUAGCUGCCAUCGACUGAAAGCCGGAGCCUGAGAUUUAACUUUACUACCACUCUACUGAAGUUUAAAAAUCAAUUUAAGCAGCAUAACUGCCCUAAAAACACUGAUCGCCACCGUGUUCGGUGACGCAUAUCCAACAUGGCGGUAAGUAGAUGACGUAACACGCGCCUUUCAAAGUCUACAGCUUUCGGACGCUUUCACCCCACGCGCUCAAACAUUUGGUGCAUUAUCUCAAACGAUGCGUAAUUUUGAUGUGAUUUUGAAGUUGUUGAUUUUUUUAUAUAUCUACAAUUUUCCAUGUCUUUCAGCGGGCAUGCGCAGAAAAAAGUAGGCAGACCCUGCGCAGAUUCAUCAAGUGCAGCUGUGCACAGGUGCGACUCACCGCGUGGGACCUUCUCAGAACUAAAACUGGAUGCAGCGAGCAGGAGAACCUCAAACUGGGGAUCCCCGCCUGUGGACAGUGACGAGAGGGGUCUCAGAAAUGAGGAGGACACUCCUAAACAUGUGAAAAAUAAGGUUGAAGAGGAGCAAUGAGGAAAGGACCAAUUCCACACCCAGUCAAGAAUCAAGCAGCAUGCCAAUGUGGACAUCAUGUGUGGGGAUCAUUUGACCAGGAGGGGGCAGUGUUGCGCUCAGGUUGCCUUUGGUUAUGGGUGCACGCCGGAAAGGUUGCCUUGAAAUGAGGGCAGGUGUUUAAGGGUCUGAUGGUGGGACUUGCUUAAGAGGUGCGCUGUGGUUGUAGUUGAGGUUGUGGCUUGUCUGGAUCCAGAGCAGCUUUGUCUUGUGCGAGGAUAGUGGUUGAAAGCCGGCCGGCGCUUUGGGGGAGGACUUAAAAUUUUGCACAUGCGAAGCCCUUUGAGACUUGACUGUGGGCAAUGGAUAUGAGCUUGACUUGACUCGGUCCGUCACACCGAUUGACACAAACAAAUCCUUGUCGUGUUUCACCCCUUUUAUGUUUCAGGUUUUGUAGAGGAACCAGCUUGGGUACCAAUAGCAGAAGCCCAAUGCCCAAGUUUGCUGUAAGAGCAGCGAUGUCUUGUGCUAGGAUUGUUUACGGCGCAUUGUAACCGUAACCGUAACGUCGUCACGUCGAUGGACACCAACAAAACUUUGACGUGGAGCUGAAUGUCCAAUUUUGCAGUAACACUUGUUGACUAUUGUAACAUUUUGUCAUUUUCUAACCUACCACUGUCGUACUUGCCUUUGUUCUCCCCUCAGUGUAGGGCGACGUUGGAGCGAGCCGGUCCUGAAUGUUCAAUUUUGCAAUAUGACUUGUAACAUUUUCUUUUUCUAGCCUACCACUGUUGUACUUGCGUUCUUUGUUUCCCCCUCGGUGUAGGGCGGCGUUGGAGCCAACUGGUCAACGAGGUGCCGGAAACACAAACAAAAUGGCGCCGAAUGUCCAAUUUUCCAAUGUGACUUGUUGACUAGUGUAACAUUUUCUUUACUGUCAUACUUGGGUUCUUUGUUCUCCCCUCGGUGUAGGGCAGUGCUUCUCAAUUAUUUUCUGUUACGCCCCCCCCUAGCAAGAAGAAAACUAUUCGCGCCCCCCCUCCCCACCGUGACUAUCCAAACUUGUCUUGUAAGUCGUAAAAUGUUGCACUGUCGCAAACGUGACAGAAGUAACAAUGAGAGCGCCACUGCCCCCUGCUGUAGUAAACGCGCAAUUACACUUUAUUCUAGUACUGCCAAAAAAAAAGCCUGUUCCCCAGGGUCACACGCGCCCCCCCAGGAAUAGCAUCGCGCCCCCCAAGGGGGGCGCGCCCCACUAUUUGAGAAGCACUGGUGUAGGGAGACGUUGGAGCGAGCCGGUCCCGAAGGUCCAAUUUUGCAAUACGACUUGCAACAUUUUGUCAUUUCCUAACCUACCACUGUCAUACUUGCGUCCUUUGUUCUCCCCUUGGUGUAGGGCGGCGUUGGCGCGAGCUGGUCCACGAGAAACCACCGGUUGAGGGUCCCCAAGACAUAAUGACGCGAGCAGCGCACAACUCAUUGCAUGUUCUGCCUUUUGCAGACUGGACGCAAAAGGGGGGGACGCACGGCCCGACCCGGCGAUGGUAACCAAGAGUAGCUAGCUGCUGUGAUCAAGUAAGCAAGUGUGACCUCGUACUUGGGGUGCUCUUUGAGUCUCGCAUUGUUUCUGCAGAUGGCGACCGGGACGCGACACGAUCGGAUCAGAAGGUGUGGCAUCACUGAAGUAUCCUGCAGCCAGCCAGGAUCUGAGGGAGACCCGCUUCCUUGGAGGCGUUGAGCUUCAAUGCGUGAAAUUGAUUUUUUUUUUCUUUUUUUAAUUCACACCAGUGGUGUCCAAACGUCUGAGUGCCGCAUACGGAAACAAAUUCGUGAUUGUUUGUGCUACUGCUACAAAACAAUGUUUAUUUAGGUCAUUCAUGUGGUGUCUUGAUAAACCUUACGUAGACAUAGCAAAAAUGAGGAUAAACUACUACUGUGUCUGAGUGAAAAUUUGAACAGAGGAUUUGACUUGUAAAUACAACUUAAUAUUUUGAUGCCGUUCAUCAGUAGUAUUUUGGCGCACCCCUAGUGGCCUGUGGGAAAUAGCCCCUAGGCUGCCGUUUGGACACUAAUGGUGACGUGUAGGGCUGCACGUGUAUUGGAAAACUGCAAUAUGGUGGUAUGUUAUUGACAUGCACUUUAAGAAAGAAAAGAUGUUUUUUUUAAUGUGACCUAAUGAAACAAGCUCUGUUUUCUUGCUUAUAAUUAUUUUAGAAGAUGACAAGUCAUUGAUGCAAGUUAACGUCUAACUGAUCACAGUCAGUUCAAAUCAUUUCUAUCACAAAUUGUUGCAUUACUUUGCUCGAUGCAAUGGUCUGGCCCAAUACUGCCAUAUCACUGGUUUUCCAAUAAGUUGUGCAGCCUUGAUUGAGUGCAAACGCGCAGCGACGUCAAGCGACCGUGCAAGCGAGACUUUUCUGCUUGUGUCUUGCAAGGUGGAAGCGAAGCUGCACAAAACGAACACCCGGCAGACUGAGGCCCCGAGCCCCGGGGUUGGCGAGCGCUAAGAAAUCACCCCAAGAAAAGCAGUCUCCAUGUGAAGAAGAGGAAGUAGCCCGAUGCAUGGCUGGCCACAGGGCUCGCUCACGUGGCGUCGGAGGGACUGGAGCAGUUCCUCAAAUGAAGAUGAGUACCAUCUGCCGGUCACUGAGUACGUUGACAGAAGUGAACCGCAUGCAACGGAGUGCUGUCUUUCUUUUUGCAGUUGUGCGAGGCAGAGGAAGGGUGCAAACGUCGAAAACCAGCCCGGAGCGGACCCGAACCUUCUGCAGACCUUAGCCCGUGACGAGCGGCCCACAUGAGGCGGGUGCAGAUGCGGCGAGGCUGGGUGGGCAAAGCAGCCAACAUUUAGGGAGAGUAUGACUUUGUUUUUUCCUUUUGCACUUUCUUGCCCUCCCUCCACUUUCUCACUGGGUGUGCACACUGUCUGUCUGCAUGAUGCUUCUCUUUCUUCCAAGUGCUGUUGUAGUGCAAUAUUGUUUUAAAGUGUUUUUUUAAUACAUAGAGUGAACUGUAAAGUUUGUACUGCAAUUGUGUGCCUCAGUACCUGAAUUAAAUUGUUAACUGAAUGCAAGUGGUCCAUUUUCAACAUUGGCCUGUGUAGUCUAGCUGUGCGUAAUGAGGUGAAUGUCAAGUAGACUGACACACAUAGAUGCAAAUGACAAGCGUGUUAAAGCGUAAAAAGUCGGCGCUGCAACCCAUGAAGUAUGUCUGUGGCAAACCUUUUUGCAACCCUGCUGUAAAAUGGCCACUGAAUUCAGAAUCUAGCGCCGUUUUGGUGCACAUUUUUUGUACGAGUAAAAGCCUUUAUUUUAUUGAAGUCCAAGCCUGUUUUUCUUUUUGCGGUUAGAUUGUCAUGCGGGGUGUUUCUGUGAAUAAAGUUAACUUUGGUGUGUUUGGUUUCUGUGGGUGGUCUUUGUAAAUAAACUUUGGUGUGUCAGUUGUCAUGCACAAUGUGCCUCAGUUGAUGCUGCAUCUCGAAUAUAAAACUAAUUACAAGUUUUGUUACAGGUCUGGAAGUCAUCAUUUGCAGUCGCAGCACGAGGAAAGCCUGUCCACUAUACAGUGGAGAGGGCUGCUAAAGUGAAUUUAUAAGCAUUACAUGCAACUUCCAGAAUCUGGGCCUUCAAUUCAAAGCACUUAGUCUCAUGUUGCGUAACAACACGGCCAACCUUGCUGCCAGUACUGUGAUAGCGCCCAGUUCAGAGUUAAGUCAGCAAAAACACGUGAGUAAAGGCCACACCGUAGCUUGUUUAGAUGGUGUUCAAGUGAGCCAGAAAGAGGUGAUCUCAUUACCGGCGUCUUUAUUAAAUUGGCUUUUGUAGACAGCUUAGUUGAAUUCCGAGGGCUGCCAUCUAAUGGUGGCAAACUUGCCCUAACCUGUCCGACGCACCAUUUACUUAUAUGCGAAAAUACUUCAUUUUUAACUUUAAACUACACUAUUAAAAAUGCUACCUGUCUCUCCAAUGCGCAUGUGUAAAAAAUACAAAGCAAUGACAUUAAUUUGCAUUACUUCUACUAAACACCUGCUACAAAUAUG
Long non-coding RNA from Syngnathus typhle (broad-nosed pipefish), 7066 nucleotides. RefSeq lists it as uncharacterized. The transcript has 8 exons. The record is from RefSeq and is a predicted model, not a curated record. NCBI's taxonomy places the organism in Eukaryota, Metazoa, Chordata, Actinopteri, Syngnathiformes, Syngnathidae.